UUAAAAUACAAACAGACUUAAAUUUUUUUAUCUGUUGAGUUUUCUACUAGACUUAAAUUAAUAUUUUAAGCCUUUCCGAGUGAAACAAGAUCUUAAUAUUAUAUAUGUUAGAUCCAUGUUUAAGCUAAAAGACAAUUGUUUCUUCACAAAACACAUAACACUUAUUUCUCCACUUUCUCCCAUCAUGAGAAAUUUUUUCUCUCUCCAUUCUUGCUCAGUCCUGCGUGCGCCUUUGACACUGCUCACACCCUCCACCUUCAUUUUUGCGUGGAGAUAUCUCUGCCUUUGCAUCCAUAUCUGAUGGGAAGUGUUGUCCGCUGCUCGCGCCCUCCAUCUUCAUCUUCGGGUAGGCAUGUCAUAGUCGCUGCCUCGUAGGUUGUGUCUCCUCACCUGCUCCCGCGUUGCUACCGUUGUUGCCUCUUGCGUUGUUCCUAUCGCCAUUGCAUCUCGCGUUGCCACUGCCUCUCGCUUUGCUCCUACCGCCAUUGCUUCUCGCGUUGCUCCUACCGCCAUUGCCUCUCGCAUUGCUCCUACCGCCAUUGCCUCUAACGUUGUAGUUGACGCCCCUAUCUAUCGUGUUGUCGUUGUCGCCGCCGCCUCUCGCGCUACCUCCCCUGCCUAUCAUGUUGUCAUUGUUGUACAAGUGAAAAAAUUGGUUUUGGUUUGUAAGGAUUAAGAAUUAGGAUCUUUGUUUUCUUUUUAGGGUUUUACAUUUUAAUCUUUCUCUUAUAGUAAUUUUUAGGGUUAAGAACUUUGUACGAUUUUAAGAUUUUUUUGGAGUGAUUAUUAAUGGCUCCAAUUUCUCUUCCC
RNAcentral lists this long non-coding RNA (810 nucleotides) under Vigna radiata. RNAcentral describes it as "long non-coding RNA (VRAD_LNC004304)". Lineage: Eukaryota; Viridiplantae; Streptophyta; Magnoliopsida; Fabales; Fabaceae. The record is from RNAcentral.